CCGUUCGAGAAGCAAGACAAAGUG
RNAcentral lists this microRNA (24 nucleotides) under Bombyx mori (domestic silkworm). Its description in RNAcentral is "bmo-miR-3333". The record is from miRBase by way of RNAcentral. Lineage: Eukaryota; Metazoa; Arthropoda; Insecta; Lepidoptera; Bombycidae.